UUGGGUGGCCAUCUUCUAUUGAAUCUAACUGAUCUUGGUUAUCUUGAUUUCAAAAGUUAAGCAGGGUUAGCAUUUGUUGAGAUUUGGAUGGAGCACCCCCUGGAAUGUACAGGCUUGUUGGUUAAU
RNAcentral lists this ribosomal RNA (126 nucleotides) under Notechis scutatus (mainland tiger snake). The record is from RNAcentral. Lineage: Eukaryota; Metazoa; Chordata; Lepidosauria; Squamata; Elapidae.